Molecule: ribosomal RNA, 627 nt
Filed under: Lomechusa pubicollis
Lineage: Eukaryota; Metazoa; Arthropoda; Insecta; Coleoptera; Staphylinidae
Description: partial 16S ribosomal RNA
Rfam family: Bacterial large subunit ribosomal RNA
Source: RNAcentral
GUCUUUAAGAUAUUAAUUUAAAGUCUAGCCUGCCCAAUGAUAAUUUUUAAUGGCCGCAGUAUUUUGACUGUGCAAAGGUAGCAUAAUAAUUAGUUUCUUAAUUAGAAACUGGAAUGAAAGGUUGGACGAGAAAAUAGCUGUCUCUUUAUUAAUUUUUUAGAAUUUUAUUUUUAAGUUAAAAAGCUUAAAUAUAUUUAAAAGACGAGAAGACCCUAUAGAGUUUUAUUAAUUUUUUAAUAAAAUUAUAAAUUGAAUUGUUAAAUUUUUAUUUAUAAAUUAAUUUGAUUGGGGUGAUAUAAAAAUUUAAUAAACUUUUUAAAAUAAAAACAUUGAUUUAUGAAUAUUUGAUCCAUUAUUAUGAUUAUAAGAAUAAAUUACCUUAGGGAUAACAGCGUAAUUUCUUUUUAGAGUUCUUAUCGAUAAAGAAGUUUGCGACCUCGAUGUUGGAUUAAAAUUAAGAUUUGGUGUAGAAGCUAAAUUCUUAGGUCUGUUCGACCUUUAAAAUUUUACAUGAUCUGAGUUUAAACCGGUGUGAGCCAGGUUGGUUUCUAUCUUUAAAUAAAUUUUAUGUUUUAGUACGAAAGGACCAGAUAUAAUAAAAAUUUUAUAUAAUUGAAUAUUAAUAAU